RNAcentral lists this ribosomal RNA (254 nucleotides) under uncultured bacterium. Its description in RNAcentral is "partial 16S ribosomal RNA". It matches the Rfam family "Bacterial small subunit ribosomal RNA", at positions 524 to 777 of the family's 1533-position model. The record is from RNAcentral.
UACGAAGGGGGCUAGCGUUGUUCGGAAUCACUGGGCGUAAAGGGCGCGUAGGCGGCUUUGUAAGUCGGGGGUGAAAGCCUGUGGCUCAACCACAGAAUUGCCUUCGAUACUGCAGAGCUUGAGACCGGAAGAGGUAAGUGGAACUGCGAGUGUAGAGGUGAAAUUCGUAGAUAUUCGCAAGAACACCAGUGGCGAAGGCGGCUCACUGGCUCGGUACUGACGCUGAGGUGCGAAAGCGUGGGGAGCAAACAGGG